Molecule: ribosomal RNA, 468 nt
Filed under: uncultured bacterium
Lineage: Bacteria
Description: partial 16S ribosomal RNA
Rfam family: Bacterial small subunit ribosomal RNA
Source: RNAcentral
GACGAACGCUGGCGGCGUGCUUAGCACAUGCAAGUCGAACGGAAAGGCCCUGCUUUUGUGGGGUGCUCGAGUGGCGAACGGGUGAGUAACACGUGAGUAACCUGCCCUUGACCUUGGGAUAACUUCAGGAAACUGGGGCUAAUACCGGAUAGGAGCUCCUGCUGCAUGGUGGGGGUUGGAAAGUUUCGGCGGUUGGGGAUGGACUCGCGGCUUAUCAGCUUGUUGGUGGGGUAGUGGCUUACCAAGGCUUUGACGGGUAGCCGGCCUGAGAGGGUGACCGGCCACAUUGGGACUGAGAUACGGCCCAGACUCCUACGGGAGGCAGCAGUGGGGAAUAUUGCACAAUGGGCGGAAGCCUGAUGCAGCAACGCCGCGUGCGGGAUGACGGCCUUCGGGUUGUAAACCGCUUUCGCCUGUGACGAAGCGUGAGUGACGGUAAUGGGUAAAGAAGCACCGGCUAACUACGUG